ACUGAGAGGGGUUUUUGACUUAUGUUUCGUCGUUAAUGCCUUGGAGCGCCGUUUAUAAAGUUUCUCAAUUACACAGAAUAUCAAACUCACGAAAACCUAAGUAUGAUUUUUCCUUCUCCCUCCUUGAAUUAUUGUUACGGCGGCGAUUGGUCAUCCCCAGAUAAUUUUCUACCUUCCUUUUUCAUCUUAAUAUCCAAGCUUUGUGGGUAUGGUUUCGACGGUGGAAUUUGCAAAGGAGCUACACUGGUGGUGGAGGCGACACUGGUGGUAGAACUGGAAAAAGUAGAGGAUUUAGUGGUUGAAUAGGUGCAGAUGGAGAUGAAAUUGGCUGCGAGAUUCUUUCACUCAGUCAAUUCGGUGGCGUUACGCGACUUCCAUAGCGACACAACCCAACCGCUAGCACGACUAGGGUCAAUUUCUCUUUGAAUCUCGGUAUAUCAAAGGACCUCUAAACACACAAAGUAUUUAAAACUCGGUGACCGAUAAAGUUGAAUGCCAAAAUGUUCAGAAGAUAACACAUAAGGUGUUUAAAGUCGAAGUCUCGCGCGUGAUCGAGUUUUGGGUUUUGGAGGGGGAACAACAAACAAAAUCAGGUUCUUACCGUUUGCACGGAUACGGUACAAGAAGAAAAAAAUGCACUUAAGAGUCACAUGAGUCCAAUUGAAGAUGAGCUUAAUGAGCUUAAAGCAUUUAAAGAAGUGUUCUUACAACGCUUUUCAAGAGAUAACACUCCAAGAGAGAACACUUCAACUAGUUAAUUUUUUUAUUUUAUUCUUUUAGAUUAAACAAGAAUUACUUUUUUUUAGCUUUUUUAGAAUUUAAAGACAAGGGGGCGUGAUUUUUGAUUUCACAUAACUUAAAAUUCUAUUGUUAAACAUCUUUUGAGUAAUGAAAUUUUCAUUUGUUUUAA
Spinacia oleracea (spinach) is the source of this 910-nucleotide long non-coding RNA. RefSeq lists it as uncharacterized. The transcript has 3 exons. The record is from RefSeq and is a predicted model, not a curated record. Lineage: Eukaryota; Viridiplantae; Streptophyta; Magnoliopsida; Caryophyllales; Amaranthaceae.